This 1386-nucleotide ribosomal RNA is filed under the name uncultured bacterium. RNAcentral's name for it is "partial 16S ribosomal RNA". It matches the Rfam family "Bacterial small subunit ribosomal RNA". The record is from RNAcentral.
AGAGUUUGAUCCUGGCUCAGGAUGAACGCUGGCGGCGUGCUUAACACAUGCAAGUCGAACGGGAAAUACUUCAUUGAGACUUCGGUGGAUUUGAUCUAUUUCUAGUGGCGGACGGGUGAGUAACGCGUGGGUAACCUGCCUUAUACAGGGGGAUAACAGUCAGAAAUGGCUGCUAAUACCGCAUAAGCGCACAGAGCUGCAUGGCUCAGUGUGAAAAACUCCGGUGGUAUAAGAUGGACCCGCGUUGGAUUAGCUGGUUGGUGGGGUAACGGCCCACCAAGGCGACGAUCCAUAGCCGGCCUGAGAGGGUGAACGGCCACAUUGGGACUGAGACACGGCCCAGACUCCUACGGGAGGCAGCAGUGGGGAAUAUUGCACAAUGGGGGAAACCCUGAUGCAGCGACGCCGCGUGAAGGAAGAAGUAUCUCGGUAUGUAAACUUCUAUCAGCAGGGAAGACAGUGACGGUACCUGACUAAGAAGCCCCGGCUAACUACGUGCCAGCAGCCGCGGUAAUACGUAGGGGGCAAGCGUUAUCCGGAUUUACUGGGUGUAAAGGGAGCGUAGACGGUGUGGCAAGUCUGAUGUGAAAGGCAUGGGCUCAACCUGUGGACUGCAUUGGAAACUGUCAUACUUGAGUGCCGGAGGGGUAAGCGGAAUUCCUAGUGUAGCGGUGAAAUGCGUAGAUAUUAGGAGGAACACCAGUGGCGAAGGCGGCUUACUGGACGGUAACUGACGUUGAGGCUCGAAAGCGUGGGGAGCAAACAGGAUUAGAUACCCUGGUAGUCCACGCAGUAAACGAUGAUCACUAGCUGUUUGCGAUACACUGUAAGCGGCACAGCGAAAGCGUUAAGUGAUCCACCUGGGGAGUACGCCGGCAACGGUGAAACUCAAAGGAAUUGACGGGGGCCCGCACAAGCGGAGGAACAUGUGGUUUAAUUCGAUGAUACGCGAGGAACCUUACCCGGGUUUGAACGCAUUCGGACCGAGGUGGAAACACCUUUUCUAGCAAUAGCCGUUUGCGAGGUGCUGCAUGGUUGUCGUCAGCUCGUGCCGUGAGGUGUCGGCUUAAGUGCCAUAACGAGCGCAACCCUUGCCACUAGUUACUAACAGGUAAAGCUGAGGACUCUGGUGGGACUGCCAGCGUAAGCUGCGAGGAAGGCGGGGAUGACGUCAAAUCAGCACGGCCCUUACAUCCGGGGCGACACACGUGUUACAAUGGCGUGGACAAAGGGAGGCCACCUGGCGACAGGGAGCGAAUCCCCAAACCACGUCUCAGUUCGGAUCGGAGUCUGCAACCCGACUCCGUGAAGCUGGAUUCGCUAGUAAUCGCGCAUCAGCCAUGGCGCGGUGAAUACGUUCCCGGGCCUUGCACACACCGCCCGUCA